This is a non-coding RNA of Ciona intestinalis (vase tunicate), 283 nucleotides long. The record is from RefSeq and is a predicted model, not a curated record. Lineage: Eukaryota; Metazoa; Chordata; Ascidiacea; Phlebobranchia; Cionidae.
AUUGUGGAUUUCAUGGUUAAAAUUUUUCAGAUUUUACACACAUUUUUUGUUGAUUAGGAUUUUUCAAAUAACUUACAAGCAGAAGUUGUAAAAUAGUUUCAUUUAAAGGUCCAGCAAAUAUGGAUAUUUCUCAGUGAGCAGAUGGUGAACUGAGAACUGUGGCCACUACACAUAGUAGAAAACAAUGAAAAAAAUGACUUGCCUUGUACUUGAGCAAAAAACAUCCCUUGCUGCGUACAAGUUUAAGAUGACGCACGAUUCGAUAUAGGAUGAGGUGAAUACG